Molecule: non-coding RNA, 1316 nt
Organism: Camellia sinensis
Lineage: Eukaryota; Viridiplantae; Streptophyta; Magnoliopsida; Ericales; Theaceae
Source: RefSeq, a predicted model, not a curated record
CCAUAGGCGCUCUCUCUCUCUCCACUUUCUGUUGUUGUUUGUGGAGAGAGAGAGAGAGAGAGAGAGGGCACAAGUAGUACAGAGAGCAUCGUCGUCGGCAAUGAACUCCAGCACAGGGACGUCGGCGGGGGGAGGAGGAGGAAAGUGAAGAUCAUGGCCGUCAACGACAUCGGUGUUGGCUUAUAUGUCCGACCUCAACCUCAACCUCAACCUCAACCCUCCUUCCUAUUGCUUCGCCGGCCCCAAAGGCGACAGUCUCUAUCACUGGGUCGCCACCCUCAUUGGUCCUUCUGGAACACCUUAUGAAGAUGGCAUCUUUUUUCUUGACAUAACAUUUCCGAGUGAAUAUCCUUUCAAACCUCCAGAGGUUCAGGACUGCUGGUGGUGUUCAAAACUCGUAUCUACCACUGCAAUGUUGAUUCUGCUGGCAACGUUAGUUUAGACGAGUCCGGAUCAUCUCCUUGCAAGUCCUCCUUGCAACGGCUGAGAUCAGCUGUUGCACAUCCAACGGCCAUAAAAAAAAAUAUAUAAAAAAAAAAAAAAAAAAAAAAAAAAAAUUGAAAUUACACUUUCCCGCUCAAAAGAAAACACAGUCUAUACCGGCGAACCCACCCUCAGAAUUGAAAUUUCGUUUGGAAUCAGAAGCACAAAAACACACAGUCAUUCCUUCUUCUCCAUUGAACCCACCCUCAUCGGCGACCCAAUACCGGCGGCGACCCAGUCUCGACGCCGUUGCAAGGACCGACGACGGUGAAACUAGAGGUGAACAAUUUGCGGGAGAUGUAUGUAGUGCCAAAUUCAAUGCCUCAAUAGUAUUCUGCUUAACCAACAUUCCAGUCACUACUUCAAGGUUCAUGUGGAUAUGACAUUGCGUUUUGAUAUUCUCAAGAAGCAAAUAGUCUAAUGUGUAGUUAGGCUAUGGACAAGCAGAAACAGAAGCAAACUGAUGCUAAAAUUGGGCAAGAAAGUGAAGUCAUAGCAGCUGAAAUUGUGAAGCAAACUGCUGCUGGAAAGUAAUGUUGCUGGUAUGAAGCAAACUGUGGAGCAAUGUGUGUUCAAAUAUUAAUGGCUUGUAUGUGUGUUCAAAGCAAACUGUGAGGUAAUGUGUGAAGCAAACUGCUUGUAUGUGUUGAAAUGGACCAAUGUGUUAAUUUUUUGAUGGACCAAUGUGUUAAUUUAGAUAGACCAAUGUGUUAAUUUAGAUGGACCAAUGUGAGCAAACUUCAGUUGAUGUUAAUUUACUGUUGAUGGUAAUUUACACAGCUUUUUCAUUUGUUUGAAAAAUUAUCCCAUCUGGUUCUGCGGGUUCUGUUCUC